AUACUGUUGGUGAUUUCAUGAUCUUCCUUCUAUGCAGUGGGAACGUGUCAAAAUGACAUAUGGCAUAUUGGUGUGAACUUUAGAAUCAUUCCUCGGAUUCAG
Haliotis rubra (blacklip abalone) is the source of this 102-nucleotide long non-coding RNA. RefSeq lists it as uncharacterized. The transcript has 3 exons. NCBI's taxonomy places the organism in Eukaryota, Metazoa, Mollusca, Gastropoda, Lepetellida, Haliotidae. The record is from RefSeq and is a predicted model, not a curated record.